Long non-coding RNA from Diabrotica virgifera virgifera (western corn rootworm), 3534 nucleotides. RefSeq lists it as uncharacterized. The record is from RefSeq and is a predicted model, not a curated record. The transcript is spliced from 2 exons. Lineage: Eukaryota; Metazoa; Arthropoda; Insecta; Coleoptera; Chrysomelidae.
AAUGUUUCUCCAUUGGUCUAUAUCUUCAGCUGCUCUAAGAGCUUCGCAGAAUGAGUUUCCAGCUGAAUUCUUUAUUUGGUCGGACCAUCUAGUUGGUGAUCGUCCUCUUGAUCUUCUCCCCGGAACGUUUCCAGAAACAAAUUAACCUCUCCAAACCUCUGCGAACCACGUGACCAAAGAAUUGCAGUAUUCGUUGCAGAUAUGUUGUGGACAGCCUUUUUUAAAUCUUGAGUUGAUUUAGAAUGGAAACGUUUGUCCUAUGAGCUGUCCAAGGUAUGCGCAGCAUUCUUCUCCAGCACCACAUCUCAAAGGCAUCAAUUUUUUGGCGCUCGCAUGCGCGAAGAGUCCAAGUCUCUGCUCCGUAUAGAAAUAUUGAGAAUACAAGGGCAUUCACCAGUCUCAUCUUGAUAUUUUGAGAGAUAGAUCUGUCUCUGUCUGUCCAAACUUUAGUUAGGCGACUCAUCGCAUUUUUUGCCAUACCAAUACGUCUCCGAACUUCUGCUUCACAGUUACCAUCGUUAAGUCCACUUUACAUCAACAAUAAAUUGGACAAGAAAUUGACCAAGUUAUUCAAGGCCAAAUUUGACGUGUAAAAGCACACUUUGACAUCUAAGUUUGUUCGUUAUAAACUUCACGUGAAGAAAUUGACGAAAAAGAAAAUUGUUCUAUUUUUUCAUUUAUUUGGCGUGAAUUCAGUGUCACCAACCUGUGUCCAUUUGGCGGGAAGUGGAAGUAGAGCUGUAGAGCUUUUUGUUUAUUAUUAUUUGUUGAGGUUGAGUCUUUCAUGUUCAUGACAACCUAAAAAUUUUGAUUGGAAAAUGCAUAUAAGAUGAGGGGGUGGGAAAAUGGAAAUUAGUGGCUUUUUUGCAGUUCUGUCUGUUAGUUUUGCUCUGGCUGGGUCUCUUUUGUUUAAACAAUUAUAAUCAGCUGAAAGUGGUCUACAAAAAAACCAGGAAGGAAACGUAUUAUAGCCUUGUUGUGGCUAUGAAAGGCAAAAGAAAGAUACCUAUAAAAAGUGUAUUGACUAGUUGGAAGAAACUCCACAUUGUCGAUGCAUAAUAAGAUAUUACUUUAUAAACAAAUAUCAAGACCUAGGAAUGGAACCUGGAUAAUAUAGUCAUCAAGAAGAUAGCAGGAGGUCAUGAGCAACAACAACUUCAUAAGUAUGAGAAUAUUGAGGAAAUCCAGCUCCUCGAUAUCUACUACUGGACAAACUAGAAGAUUGAAGAGGACAAAGCCUUUUGAACUAGUUUGAGUGAUAGGUGAUAGUGAAAAGCAGAGCGUAGUGCUUGUGUGCCUGUGUAUGUUAGAAUAGUGCACGAUCUUGUUAGAUUAGAUAAGAGACGCUAUAGGGUAAGCUCUUCAUUUUAAGGAACAGUAGUAAUUUAGGUUAAAUUAAAAUUGCUCAUUGGUCAGUUAUGACCAGAUUGUAAUUCUCUGAUGUUUGGCAAAAAGGGCUGAAGUCAGAAUUGCACAUCAAUAAUGUUUUGAUGAUUUCUGGACCAUAAAAAAAGUGUUGCAGACUUAAACUGUAUGUACCAAUAAAAAGAGCCGAUUUUUCUGGUCCAGAAAUCAUCAAAACAUUAUCGAUGUGCAAUUCUGACUUAAGCCCUUUUUCCCAAACAUCAGAGAAUUGCAAUGUACAAUUCAAUACAAAUGAAUCAUCAUCGUAGUGAUGAUUAUGGAAAAAAAAAUAUAUAUAUAGAAAUAUAUAUAUUUUGUGCAAUAAAAAUGUUUAUAUUUAUCAAGGAUGUAUUAUUUGGUAUGGCCACAUAUACUUCUGGUAUAUCGUCGGUGAUGUGACAAUACCUCCUAUCUGCUUUUUCAUGAAUUUUGUAGGAGACGAAAAACCAUUUUUAGGGUCAUCUGUUUUCACAUGUAAAUUUUGACAUGUUUUGUAGUAAAUAGAUAAUUGAAUUUACUACAAAACAUGUCAAAAAAUAUCAUAUGAAAACAGGAGGUGACUGUAAAAAAAGUUUUUAGUCUCUCUUACAAAAUGGUUAACAGUUAAUAGAGAGACAGAUAAUCGAGGUUCCACUGUAUAGUGAAAUUUGGACACCCGACACCCCAUACAAAUUUUAUGGGGGUUUUGUUCGUUUAAACCCCCCCCCCCAAACUUUUGUGUAAGUUACAAUUGAAUUAUUAUUGUGGUACUAUUAAACACAAUGUUUUUAAAACUUUUUUGCCUCUUAGUACUUUUUUGAAGUCAGUUUUUAUCGUGAUAUUUUGAAUAUUUGUCAAAUCCACCACAUAUUUGUAUAUGGUUAAGUACGAUUGUAGAGACUAAUAAUAUGAAAAUUUAUUUAUGAUUUACAUUUUUAGGUAUAUUUUGAACCAUUUUAAAAAGAAGCCAUAUCUUGAUAAAAAGAGCUUUAUCGAAAAAAUAGAAAGAGGUAAAAAAGUUUUAAAAACACAGUGUUUAACUAAUGGUACCGCAGAAAUAAUUUAAUUGGAACGUACCCAAAAGUUUGGGGGGGUUAAAGGGAACAAAACCCCCAUAAAAUUUUUAUGGGGUGCACAAAUUUCACUAUAAUUUUUCUUUAAGAUGUUACUGCAAUAAUAUUGCUUCAUGUCCAUUUUCAAUAAAAAAUCUUUAAUAGUUUUCGAUAUAUUCGAAAAAAUCGAAUUUUCAUUUUGUAUCUUCAAAGGGCUGUAACUUUUUUUGUGUGCAUAUUUGUACUAAGGUAAGUUAGGUUCAUUCAAAUUAUUUUUGGUCCCAGAAUAUGUGAUUUAAUUUACGACCAAUCUUUUCGGGACACCCUGUAUAAUAAAUGGGAUUAGCUGGCUUAAAAAUUCAUAAUCUACGUUCUGUAGAAAAUAUACAGUUUUUGGUUUCUUUUUAACUAGAUCUUAAUAUCUAACCAAGCAUUUUAAGACCUUUUUAUUAUUUUUUCGAUGAUAUAUUCAUGUUUUUAGUUUGUUCAAAAUAUUCUAGAUGAUUGUACACUAUAAUAGAUAGCCAACUAAAUAAACACAAAAAUUUUAUUUUUGUUACAGCCUGUAUAUAAGUUUACCUAUAUAUACAGUGCAUUGCGCACCACCUUAAAAAUUGGGCAUUUUUGAUGUCUCGAAUUUCCUAAACCUGUUGUCCCAUCUAAGUGAUUUUUUUAUAAUAAUAUAGCCUGAGGCUAUAGGUUACUGCCUUAUGCUUGUCAUGCACGGGGAGCUAUACUGUAAUAUAUAUUAUAUCACGUCGCUCUCUAUAGUAAUGAGUGAGCCUGCACAUACGGAACCAUUAGUUCCCUGUCUGCAGGCUCACUCAUUACUAUAGAGAGCGAUAUGAUCUAAUAUACAUAUAUUACAGUAUAGCUACCAGUGCAUGACAAGCUUAAGGAUGUAACCUAUAGCCUAGGCUAUAUUAUAAAAAAAUCACUCAGAUGGGACAACAGGUUUAGAAAAUUCGAGACAUCAAAAAUGCCCUAUUUUUAAGGUGGUGCAUUAAUUUCUUGGAGAAGUGUAUUGUAAUUUAAUGUAAAUAAUGUAAUAUCCAAUAAUUGUAAUUUAAUAUAAGAUGUAAUAUAAGUUCCUUAAAAA